This 697-nucleotide ribosomal RNA is filed under the name uncultured bacterium. RNAcentral's name for it is "bacterial SSU rRNA". It matches the Rfam family "Bacterial small subunit ribosomal RNA", at positions 804 to 1506 of the family's 1533-position model. The record is from RNAcentral.
AAACGAUGUCAACUAGCUGUUGGGGCCUUCGGGCCUUAGUAGCGCAGCUAACGCGUGAAGUUGACCGCCUGGGGAGUACGGUCGCAAGAUUAAAACUCAAAGGAAUUGACGGGGACCCGCACAAGCGGUGGAUGAUGUGGAUUAAUUCGAUGCAACGCGAAAAACCUUACCUACCCUUGACAUGUCUGGAAUCCUCGAGAGAUUGAGGAGUGCUCGCAAGAGAACCGGAACACAGGUGCUGCAUGGCUGUCGUCAGCUCGUGUCGUGAGAUGUUGGGUUAAGUCCCGCAACGAGCGCAACCCUUGUCAUUAGUUGCUACGAAAGGGCACUCUAAUGAGACUGCCGGUGACAAACCGGAGGAAGGUGGGGAUGACGUCAAGUCCUCAUGGCCCUUAUGGGUAGGGCUUCACACGUCAUACAAUGGUCGGGACAGAGGGUCGCCAACCCGCAAGGGGGAGCCAAUCCCAGAAACCCGAUCGUAGUCCGGAUCGCAGUCUGCAACUCGACUGCGUGAAGUCGGAAUCGCUAGUAAUCGCGGAUCAGAAUGUCGCGGUGAAUACGUUCCCGGGUCUUGUACACACCGCCCGUCACACCAUGGGAGUGGGUUUUACCAGAAGUAGUUAGCCUAACCGCAAGGAGGGCGAUUACCACGGUAGGGUUCAUGACUGGGGUGAAGUCGUAACAAGGUAACCAAGGG